GAUGAAGAACGCAGUGAAAUGCGAUAAGUAGUGUGAAUUGCAGAAUUCCGUGAAUCAUCGAGUCUUUGAACGCACAUUGCGCCCCCUGGUAUUCCGGGGGGCAUGCCUGUCCGAGCGUCAUUGCUGCCCUCAAGCACGGCUUGUGUGUUGGGCCUCCGUCCUCCUCCCGGGGGACGGGCCCGAAAGGCAGCGGCGGCACCGCGUCCGGUCCUCGAGCGUAUGGGGCUUCGUCACCCGCUCUUGUAGGCCCGGCCGGCGCUUGCCGACACAUCAAUCUUUUUUCCAGGUUGACCUCGGAUCAGGUAGGGAUACCCGCUGAACUUAAGCAUAUCAAUAAGCGGAGGA
Molecule: unclassified non-coding RNA, 345 nt
Filed under: soil metagenome
Description: partial contains 5.8S ribosomal RNA, internal transcribed spacer 2, and large subunit ribosomal RNA
Rfam family: 5.8S ribosomal RNA (bases 1-120)
Source: RNAcentral